CGUACACACCGCCCGUCACACCACGAAAGUCGGUAACACCCGAAGCCAGUGGCCAACUCGCAAGAGAGGGAGCUGUCGAAGGUGGGAUCGGCGAUUGGGGUG
This 102-nucleotide ribosomal RNA is filed under the name uncultured bacterium. RNAcentral describes it as "partial 16S ribosomal RNA". It matches the Rfam family "Bacterial small subunit ribosomal RNA", at positions 1382 to 1482 of the family's 1533-position model. The record is from RNAcentral.